Molecule: long non-coding RNA, 5677 nt
Organism: Gallus gallus (chicken)
Lineage: Eukaryota; Metazoa; Chordata; Aves; Galliformes; Phasianidae
Exons: 3
Source: RefSeq, a predicted model, not a curated record
UGUAACCGUAGCUAUCUUUAGAUCAUUGUCUAAACUUAGUACUUGAAAUCAAGUUACCAUGUCUAAUCAGUUCUUUCCAGAAGUGCUGUACUAAAGCUGUGCCAGGGGUUCAUUAAGAAACCCACCUGACUUCAGCUGUGCCUCUUAAGGGCACCUCAAACCCCCACAUGGCCUCUGCCCACCUCCCUGAAGACAGAGGGUCUGGGAUAGGGCUGACUGGGGCCUUGCUGCUGCCUUGGUCUCACUGGAUAUCCAACAAGGCCGGUGCUCAGCACUGAAGUGAUCGUUCUUCACCCAUCAGAGGGCCCAUAAAUGCACAGGACUGCAAAGAGCACUACUGGAGGAGGUUAAUCCCCUUCACAGCCUGCAGAACUUCACACGGUGCGUAGCAAGGUGGCACUGCGGCCUGGCUGGCCACAGGUGUUUAUGCCAGCCUACUGACCAGCAUACUUGGUUGGAUGAGGCCCUGGGCAACCAGAUCUAGUGACUGAUUUAGUGGUUGGCAACCCUGUCCGUGGCAGGGGCUUGGAACUAGAUGACCUUUAAGUUCCCGGGCAACCCAAGCCAUUCUAUGAUUGUGUAAUUCUCACAGAAUCAAAGGGCGGUUAGGCUAGCACGGACCUCUGGUCUGUCUGGCCCAACCUCACCCAAGCAGGGACACCCAGAGCAGGGUGCCCAGGCCCAUGUCCAGCUCUGGGCUACCUGUGCCUGUGCUCCGUCACCCACAUGUUGAAGAAGUGCUUCCAGAUGGUCAGGGGGAACCUCCUGUGUUCCAGUUUGUGCCCAGUGCGUCUUGUCCAGGCACUGACCACCACUGAAAAGAGCCUGGCUCUGUCCUCAUAGCAGUUAUUGACGGAUAUUGUGAAGAUUCCCCCCAGACCUCCUCUUCUCCAGCUGGGACUGUUCACAGCCUCUCCUUACAGGCAAGGGAAGUUUGGCCCCUUGGUACAGCAGUGCAGAGCAAUUCCUGAGCGUGCCAGGAUGACUCCUGUAUGCAUUGUGUUUACCCAUUGAAGGCUUUUUUGUUGCAGAGCUGAUGUUCUGCAGUACAUGCAUACGCACGCACUCUUCUUUCCCAUCUGGCUCUCUGAUGGAGCAAUUUCUUUGUGAAUGCUGGUCGCAAAGGAGCAGAAAGUAGCACAGUGUUCUGUCAUACCAGCUUUAUAGAGGCAAUUAUGUGAUCCCCUGUUAGUGCCUAAUGCCUGUGUCAUUACCGUUGUAAGCUUUGUUUUGGCAUCCUUUUCCAAGGAACAUUAAUUAGGAGUGACAAACUUGCACACCAGACAAAGGUGACAUGGCGGUCACGUGCCUGAUGGUCAGCAAUGUGAUUCCAGGCCACUGCUUCUGGAGACUUCCACUGCCCCAGCUACAGGACAGAGGAAGAACAAAAGCCUGUGGAAGAAGGAAGGAGCCAAGGAAAGAUGAGAGUGGAGGAUGAAGACACCACUACACAAGACUUUGGUGACCUGCUCCAGGUCUCCUUUUUAUGAUCCCAGCAGAGACCCAGGACCAUGAAAGAGUUGAAUCAAUGACCUCUGCACUGGACUCAGAUUUCUCUGCAUCUAAACACACAACGCUUGAAACACCUUAGCCUCUCAUCCAUCAGUUAGGGGAAAUACCUCUGCCUACUCCAUAAACAGAUGUACCAAAAGGUUGUGAAACACUGGGGUUGCAUGGUGUGUGAUGGGUCACAGAAACAAAACCUAAAUCUUAGUGGAAGUAGGGACAGUAGAGUGAGGAAGGACUAGAAAUAUGAGCAGAGGAGGGAGAAUGGAAGGCCAUAGCUAGUUUUAAAAAGACAAAAAGAAAUAAAAGCCUGGGAAGAGCAAAAACCUCAGGGAGAAAGUAAUAAGUUUCCAUGUAAAAGUGCAUGUGCAGAAUAUCAUAAUGAAAAAUACAGCACCAUUGUCAGGGGACUUCGCUGCUUGGGAAACAGAAGCUGAGCAAUCUGGCAGGGAGGAAAUAGCCCUGGUGUUCAUUAGUCAAAUGCAAAGAUGUACCACAUAACCAGACUUCUGCAUGACUUACAUACCUAAAUACAGAACUAGGAAUAUAUGCUGAUUUCACACCCUAUGACUGUGGACCACCUUUACUGUGCCCUUGCUGGCACACUCAUCACCCCUGGCUAGGAAUCCCAUUUGAGCACACUGCAUCUUACAGCCUCCUCUUGUUCGCAGCAGCUCUCCCUUACAAAGGAGUGCCACAGCCCAACUCCCGCUUGCAUAGCUGGCACUGACAUUUUCCCUUUAAUUGGACUUCGCUAUAAGCAAAUUCUGCUAUUAUAGGUAUUGAUGUACCUGCGUGUAUCUAUCUCCCAGGGUUCCCGGUUAUGUUUAUUUCUUCUUGAAUUUUAUUUUGUUCUUCUUUAUUGUGCUAUUGCAGUUGCUGGUUUGAUUGGCUGUGUAUUGUAUUACAUGUGUGCACUGACUUUUGAAAAAAUCAAUAACAAUUAACUCAAAUAGGAAGAUGUAAGCAUGCUCUAUCUGUAGCAGCCAGCCCAAACAAAGCUGCCAGCCCCACCAGCAACCCAUGGGGUAGCAGCUUGGAUCUGCGGGCUAUGUAACUUUCACAUGCUUCCAAAGAUAUCUGAUAGGGAAAGGAUAUCGAAUUUCCAAAGAUAUUCAGUGGGGAGUGAUUCCAGCUAGCUGUGAUUCCUCUUCUCAUCUUGGAAAAUGCAGACAUUGACUGCUUUUUGAAUUUGCCACUGAAUUUAGCACCCAAGCAAGGGAGGAACAGGCUGAGCAGCAUGGAGGCAGGGAAGGUGUUGUGCUCGUUCCUACUCUGAGACCCUGCUGAAGUGCCAGGCUUGACUAAAUCUCACCAUGCCUCUCAUCCCUGUUGACACCUCUUCAGUAGAAGUGUACAUGUGAAGUUUUAGUUCUGAGUGCACUUAGCAUUUAGAUUGAAAUGAGAGAAAGUGACUUACCCUUGCCUUCUGUUGUCACACAGUAAGAUUGCACUGACCCUGACCAUAUCUCUGGUUUGCCUGGAGCGCACUGAAGUCGUGGGAUAUUGGGCAGCACAGCAAACACACAAUAAUCAGCACUGCAGUUAUAAUGAAAUACCUCAGUGAAGGAAAAGUGGAUUUCUUUACCAAUAACUGGAUUCUGCGAAGCAGGCUCUCAAGUCAAGCUUGGCAUCUUUUCCUUGUGGCUUUGAGAUAAGAUCACCGCAGAUGGAAACAAGUCCUCUUGGUCACGGGCUGCUGUCCAUGCAGAGCCCAGAUGGACUUUUCACUCCGGAUGCAAAACUUAAUGCAGAUCUUCUCCUGGUAUAAAUGCAAAAUAAGCCGAUGUAUGGAAAUCUGUUUUGCAGAAACCCAAUUUACAGAUAAGAAAUUCAUUUCCUGUAGUCAGGAGCUAUUCAAAAGGAAGUGGGGGUGAAAGCAAUUGAAAGAAUUUAAAUAAUUUCAAAUAAUUGCAUUUAGAUAUUUUCUUCCUCUCCAGAUAUCUUACUAUCUAAUCUCUUACAUUUCUAAGAAGUAGUGAUCAGGCAUUUAGUUUGCCCAUAGCUGAUAUUCUGUGGAAAGAUUUCAACUAAAAGACAAUAUAGUAAACCGUCUGGAAUAAAGUCUUCAGAAAUGUGAUUAGGAUUUAGUGGUCAUAAAGCACAUCUUGUUUUCGGAGGAAAAAAUUUAAGUGAUGAAAAUGCACAUUUCAUGUCAGAAUUAACCAGCUGACAACUGGACUUUAAAGGCAAAAAUCAUUCCACCGCAAUCUUCAGCCAAAGUCUUCUGCCUGAAUAUUAACAUUGCACUCUGAUAAGAGAAACACAAAAGCCUGAAAGUACUGAGGAGCUCCACCAUGGAAGAAAAGCGAGAGCAAACCUUGCAUUUUGGUGGGCUCACUCCUGGUUUCUGACUUCGUUGUGCAGGAGGGGUGUAAUAGCCUGAGUACAUGGGGGCUUCUCCAAAGGAAAAAGCAAACACAGCAUUUGGAGCUGCUUUGUAGCAGCAAAUGGAGCAGUGAAUGGCAGGAUCACUCUUGGUGCUAUUUGAUUCUUAGGGAAAAAGAAAAAUGUGCACACUUUGUCUUUUGAAAGAGCAAUUUUCUUUCCAGCCUUUUGGAGAUAGGAAUGGAAGCUCUUAAGGUCAGAGAAUGAGAGGGACAUUAAAUGUAAAGACUGAUGAAGGAAAGACAGCUUUCAGGAGGAUGGUUUUGACAACACAGGAUGUGUAAUGUGCUUUUAAAUGUAAAGGUGGCUAAUGAGAAUUUCUUGCUUCUGACUUCAUGAUAGGAGUAAAUGGGGGAGUAAAUGGGAGUGAUACUGUGAAAAAAAAUGGGGAAGUCGUACUUGCAGUCAGAGCAAUGUACAGCCUGUUCCCCAUCUUUCGAAGGAAAGAAGGAAUUUGUUGCUGAAAGACUGAUCAGAAAGUGUACUUGGUAUAUGACUCAAUUUCAUUUUCUAUGAGAAAUCUUGUCUUUUCAACCAAGCAAAAAGAAAGAAAUAGUUUGUGGUUUAGGAAUGCUCAGCUUUUAAUGAAAUAUUUAACAUUUUCUUGGCAAAGGAAAGAAUGAAAGAAAUCCCUAUCCAGAAGACUGUCUUUUGCCCUAAGAACAAGAACUCUUCUCUCCCCCAUACCAAGUUUCUAGACAGAAGUGAGAUAAAAAGCCACCUCUGAUGCAUUGGGCAUGCAGGGAUAGGAAGCUGCCGUGGGCUCACAGAAGUUAAUUCUCCAGUCACAGAGCCUCUUAGCCCAUUUGAUUACUAAUGUGGGAAGCGAAGGCUGCGAAAGAAAAGAGCUCAAGGAUACUUAGUUCAGGCGUUGGCUGCCAUGGAGGUUAUUAUUUAGCCUAUUGCGGGAUGAUUUCAGUUGAUCACCUGCCCACAAAUGUGAGGGAACGUAAAUCUGGAAUUUGUGAAUUCAUCUGUUGUGUUUUGACAGGAGAGAGGCUUUUGGCAGCCAGCUAGUGGAAAUAAAGUCUCUCUCCAGGGCGCAGAGCCAUGUUGCAACUGCUAGAGCGUAUUUAUGCCCUCUCAUCCAUGCGUUUCUGAGAGGCAGCAGUUCAACCAGCUGCAGGGCUCUACAUUGGAAGCAUUGUUUUCACAAGAGGGAAAAGUCCUUCAGCCUGAGAGAUGGAGUCAUCACAUAAUUGUUUUAGAAAAGUUUGCUAUCUGCUUUUGUACUAGGCUCUUUUCAGGUAGUUUGGGAGGAUGCAAACACAAAACCUCAGUAAUUGACUUUAGAUCAGGUCUAAUCCUUGAUGUCAUCAGUUUUGUUUCAUGCGUGGGAAGAUUUCAUCCUUUAGGGGAAAAAAACCCCCACCAAUGUAUAAAACAAAGUACUUUUCAGUUUAAUUAAAUCUAUGAUUACAGAGCUACAUCCUUGGUACUGCAGAGCAGUAUCAUUGAUGAGCAAACAUCAAAGCUUACCAAGCUGAGGACAAUUCAAUAAGUACCCCAAGCCCGGCUGCUAAUCUGAACCACUUCAUAUCUAGUUUUAGCCACUUGAGACUGAAAAUGAAUCUCAGAAUUUCAUGAGAACAGGAGAUCCCAUGAGAGUUUCAAUACUUUUUGCUUCCAGGAAGAAUGUGAAUCCCAAAGGAAGCAGGCCUGCAUAUUUCAGUAUCUGUUUCCCUUGAAAAAAUAAUACUUCUUCUAUUUUUUAUUUUUUUAAUAUGAGACACUUUGUCUCUAUUUAAGUUGAAGUUUUAAAUAAAGAUCUGUAGGGUGUGGA